GUUUUAUUUUUCUACAUUCUCCAAAGAAUUAAAGGGACACUAUAGUCACCUGAACAACUUCAGCUUAAUGAGAAAAUACAGUGUUUACAUUGAAAGCUAGGAACACCUCCAGUUGCAGUCACUCAGAGUGAACCAGAGGGACUUCUGAGUUGAUGGAGGCAUUAUAUGCCUCCAUCCACUCAGAUCUACUGUGCACGAGCAUCCUGUGAUUCAGUAUCUCCUCCCACUGCAUGCAGACACUGAACUUUCCUCAUAGAGAUUCAUUGAUUCAAUUCAUCUCUAUGAGGAGAUGCUGACUGGCCAGGGCUGUGUUUGAAUCAUGCUGGCUCUGCCCCUGAUCUGCCUCCUUGUCAGUUUCAGCCAAUCCUAUGGGGAAGCACUGUGAUUGGAUCAGGCUAUCACAUGUCAGCAAACUGCUUGUUUUUCCUGAGUCUAACAGCAUGCAGAUUUACAGCUUCUGGCUUGAAUACAGUAAGAUUUUUACUUUAUUUAUGGAGGCAUGAGGGGCCCAUGGGGGUUAGAUGGUAAUGUUAACACUAUAGGGUCAGGAAUACAUGUAGUUGCACUGGUGAGUAUAGUGUCCCUUUAACCUAUUAAUAAGGUCAUAAUUUCCAAC
Non-coding RNA from Pelobates cultripes (western spadefoot toad), 616 nucleotides. Lineage: Eukaryota; Metazoa; Chordata; Amphibia; Anura; Pelobatidae. The record is from the annotation of a GenBank genome assembly.